RNAcentral lists this ribosomal RNA (466 nucleotides) under uncultured bacterium. RNAcentral describes it as "partial 16S ribosomal RNA". It matches the Rfam family "Bacterial small subunit ribosomal RNA", at positions 28 to 507 of the family's 1533-position model. The record is from RNAcentral.
GAUGAACGCUGGCGGCGUGCUUAACACAUGCAAGUCGAACGAUGAAGCCCAGCUUGCUGGGUGGAUUAGUGGCGAACGGGUGAGUAACACGUGAGUAACCUGCCCUUCACUCUGGGAUAAGCCUGGGAAACUGGGUCUAAUACCGGAUAGGAGCGUCCACCGCAUGGUGGGUGUUGGAAAGAUUUAUCGGUUUUGGAUGGACUCGCGGCCUAUCAGCUUGUUGGUGAGGUAAUGGCUCACCAAGGCGACGACGGGUAGCCGGCCUGAGAGGGUGACCGGCCACACUGGGACUGAGACACGGCCCAGACUCCUACGGGAGGCAGCAGUGGGGAAUAUUGCACAAUGGGCGCAAGCCUGAUGCAGCGACGCCGCGUGAGGGAUGACGGCCUUCGGGUUGUAAACCUCUUUCAGUAGGGAAGAAGCGAAAGUGACGGUACCUGCAGAAGAAGCACCGGCUAACUACGUG